RNAcentral lists this small RNA (119 nucleotides) under Gellertiella hungarica. Its description in RNAcentral is "Alphaproteobacterial ar14". It matches the Rfam family "Alphaproteobacterial ar14". From Rfam's summary of the family: Smr14C2 was renamed NfeR1 (Nodule Formation Efficiency RNA) highly expressed in salt stress and during the symbiotic interaction on legume roots. Lineage: Bacteria; Pseudomonadati; Pseudomonadota; Alphaproteobacteria; Hyphomicrobiales; Rhizobiaceae. The record is from Rfam by way of RNAcentral.
GCCUUUCGAAGCUCCCUUCUCCUCCCGGGCGAGCUUCGACGCCGGCCGGAUCCCCUCCUCCUCCCGGGGCCGGCCUCAACUAGAAGCCCUUCGGCGAAUGGCGCCGAAGGGCUUUUUUU